This is a long non-coding RNA of Calidris pugnax (ruff), 1063 nucleotides long. RefSeq lists it as uncharacterized. The transcript is spliced from 3 exons. The record is from RefSeq and is a predicted model, not a curated record. Lineage: Eukaryota; Metazoa; Chordata; Aves; Charadriiformes; Scolopacidae.
ACCAAUUUUGUAUCCACACUGUGUGCUAGGUAAAACCAGAUGAAACCAAGAGGAAGGAGAUUGAACAAAUUAUAGCCAAGGAUAUGAACAAGAAUUUUCUUCGUUCAGGUCAAUCGGAUCCACAUGAGAUCUUUAGCCCUGUGUGGUAUGGAGGUGUGUAACGUACCAAUGUCGGAAGAUUUACCUUCCUCAUGUGGCGUGGCAUGACUUUCAUACGAAAACCACAUGAGGGAAAGGAUGACCCAUCGUUACUGAACCUGGACAGAUGGGAGCAUUCAUUUCCUGAGCAAUUUGUGCCCCAUUCACUUGCUUUGGGCUUUCGACAUCCAAUUUGUGGAGCAGAUGUUCGACACGGAGUCACAAGGUUUGUUUUCUUGGCCAAAUUCCAAGGACGCUGCUGGGAAUUUGUAUGUGAUGAUGGGCUUUUGGAGUCCCAUCACUGGCAAAACUGCCAAGAUACUUGGCCUCGUGAGAAGACUUUCUACUCGGGGAAUUUAAACACAAAGUCUGCUUGCCUCUGUUCAGAACAUAGACAUGGCUUUCUCUAUGCCUGCUUUCUCCUAUAUCCUUCUCAUACAGGCUUCUCCCAUGUUUAAAAUACACUUUCCUUUCUCCUUCAGAUUCCUCCUUAAAAACAUCUUGGUUUGUGAACUCAGGAGUUUUCUUUCUGUGGCAGUGUUUUGAUGGCAGCUUUGGUUUUCUUCACAGUAUCAUUUUCCUCCUGUGAAACCUUGGAUAACACUCGAAAUUUCUGCAUUCCCUGAGUUUGUUGCCCAUAAAAUACAGGUACAAAUAGAGAUUGUUGGUGUCAUUGUGGAAAUUAUUCAGGUUUAUGAACCAUACUGAAAAAUACUACUGGAAAGAUAAGCCCAAUGCUAUUAUCUCUCUACAACAGCGAAGUGAAUUAUGGACUCAGUGGAAAAGAGAUGCAAGUUAGUGCAGAGUCAGUCUCUUUCCGCUUCUAUCACAUGUAAUAGAAACAUCUAAGCAUCUCAUUAUUUUUUUUUUUGCUUUUAUUAGUAAAAUGAGUAACUUCUGAAAGGUUAGUGGAAACUUACUAUAG